RNAcentral lists this unclassified non-coding RNA (375 nucleotides) under uncultured fungus. RNAcentral's name for it is "sequence contains ITS1". The record is from RNAcentral. Lineage: Eukaryota; Fungi.
CUCCAGCGCGUCCUGCCCGCCGCAGAUGUCGAGCUCACGCUGGCCCAGAUCCAGGCGCCGGAAUCGAGCAGCAGCGACGGCAAGCGCGAUCCACUGCUCAGCCGCCGCUACGUGGUGCCGUUCCUGCUCGCCUGCGUGGUGCUGGCCUGCACCCAGGCUACCGGCAUCAAUUCGGUGCUGGCCUACGCGGUCAACAUCCUCAACCAGGCCGGCCUGUCCGGUUCAGUGGCCAACGGCGCCGACGUGGCGAUCAAGCUGCUCAAUGCGGUGAUGACCGUGGUCGCGUUGCUGCUGGUCGACCGCAAGGGCCGCAAGUUCCUGCUGAUGCUCGGCAGUGGUGGCAUCUGCGUGGCCCUGCUGGCCGCGGCCGCGCUG